Molecule: long non-coding RNA, 361 nt
Organism: Capra hircus (goat)
Lineage: Eukaryota; Metazoa; Chordata; Mammalia; Artiodactyla; Bovidae
Exons: 3
Source: RefSeq, a predicted model, not a curated record
GCCACCAGCUGUCCUUGCUGACUGCCCCCACCCCUGUCCCCCAGGUCAGGGCACUCGGGCUGGGGACCAUCUCUGCCCCUGGGGGCCGGGGAGCCCCUUGGCCAGGCCUGAGCCAGCGGCUGGAUCACCCCAGGGUUUGUCUGCAAAGGGGUUCAGCAAGGGGCAAAGGCUGGGCGCUGAGCUCCAAGCUGGCACUUCAGUGUCUGCCCCAACCCUGCCACCAGGCCUGGCCCUCCCCAUGCAGCAGAACCGAGGAGCCGCUGCAGGCAGGAGGCCACAGGGAACUCCCCAGCCCGUGAUACCAGCCAGCUGGGCCAGGAAGGGGCCUGCAGGCCAUCCCCCUGUGGGAUGGCAGCUGGGG